Molecule: non-coding RNA, 4859 nt
Organism: Schizosaccharomyces pombe (fission yeast)
Lineage: Eukaryota; Fungi; Ascomycota; Schizosaccharomycetes; Schizosaccharomycetales; Schizosaccharomycetaceae
Source: the annotation of a GenBank genome assembly
AUAUCAAGAGACCCAUUUAAAACUCUUCAUAUUUAAGGCCGACUUAAAUUUUCUCGGCGAAAAAACAACAAGUAACCAGCACUAACAGCAAUUUGUGAAAUCAAACAAAUCCAAAACGGUGCACUUCUGAAUAUUUUUGCACCAUCUUCGAACCUCCAUGAUGUCAAAUCUAAAAAGACGAGUCCAGGACCAAGUCGAUUUGGUGCGGUUGCCCUUGCUAACAUUGAAGUCAACGUUCCGAUAAUUUGUCCAGCAAUUAGAGUUGUAGCAAUGUGCCUUCUAGUAAGUGUCUGCAAUAAAAUCAUUCCAACCCCAACACCUUGUACCGAAUCUAAGACACCCAGCCAAAUCCAUAAGAUUCGACCAACAAUUGGACCAGCUACUCCAGCCCAUGGAAGAUAAACCCCUAUAUUGCUAGUGCCCCACAUCAUUUGCAACCAUCGGGGAGAUCCCAGUCCUACCCCAAAAACCGGCAGAAGCCAAGAAUGGGUAAGCGACUUUCGUCCGAGAAACAUCAACAUAAUGAUCCACAUGCUCAAGAACAAAAAAAAUGCUAUAGUCAGCAUUUUCCAUGGAGCUAACAAUGAACCACCCCAGAGAUAUUUCCACGAUCUACCAUAUAAGGUAGAUAGCCAGUAAUUUUGAAGUAUUGUUGCAACGAAGAACCAGAGAACAAGUUUUCUCCUUAAUAGGGCAGUAUAAAAUGCAGGAAUAUUUCCAGGACUUUCCCAAUAAUAAUCUGGCAGACCGAAAAUCAACAAAAUGGCGAAUAGUAACAUCACUAAAGCGAGUGGCCAAGAAAAAACAGCUAUUAAACCCAAGGGAUAUACUUCAUGUGGAAACGAAUGACAUUCUUGCAUCGACCGAUCAAUAUAGGAUCCCCAGUACCAAAGACAACAAGCCCAAAUUUGUUGAAAGCCUUGAACAAUGCAUGCUCUUACGAUCCAAGAUACGACACCGGCACCAGCCUCAUCACCAAAAUUUAACGAAAAAUAAAGUGAUCCACUGGCUGAAGCAACAGCAUAUAUCCAACUGGCAAUGUGACUAAUCCAUAAACGCAAGUACAUAUUUUCAUUGAUAAACGACGAAAUACCGAUUAACAGAAAUGAGGCACAGUAAAGAAGAAAGGGAAGACUAAGGGAUGCUACACUAGGUAGCAUGCGGUAUAAAUACCACCAAAACACAGAUGAAACAGUAUAAAUACUACCUACAAUAUAAAGCUGUGUAGAAAACUGAGCAGAGGAUCCUGAGAGUAAAACAAGUUGAUAAGAUGUUGCAGCCAAAAUUUGGCCAACUGAAAGAAAAAUAGAGUAAACAGGCCAAUCACCAAUUCGCAUUUGCAUAAAACAUUUAAUCCGCAUCGUUCUAUUUUUUAAUAAAAACAAAAAAGAAUUAGGACUUGAACCAUUAAAAUUUCCAAGAGACGUCACAGAGUUAAGGUUCACCUUGGAUCCUAGAAAAUGCUCUGUAUUUAUGAAUUUUUUGUCCUCGUCGUAAAUCAAAAGGUUAGGACGUUGAAUUCCGAAACGAAUAUUUCGAAGUCCAUCAUACCACUCUUUCUUCAUUUUCAAUAUAAAGGUUUCAAUACACAGUUCAUUGACAGAAUUUUUUGGAUCUAGUUCUUCUAACUUUUGGGAAAAAUAAUUAAGAGCUCGACCAUUAUCGUCCGUAAAAUCGUUUUCAGUUUUUGUCAGCGCAAACUCCUUAUUCAAAUUCAUACUUAUAACAGAGUCUAAACUUAAUUGGGACUCAUUUAGGUUCCUUACAACCUGGUUGAUCGGGCUUCUAUGGUGAACAGAGCUGAUUGUUUCUAAAACAGAAUCACUGUUUUCCGGAUGGCCAUCGCUAGACCGCAGGUCCUCACUUGACAUGACAAAAGAACUUAAACGAUCGUUGCGCACGUUUAUAUCGGAUGACACUUGAAGAUCUGGGAACCCAUCAACGGAGGUAUCUUGAAAUAUGUCAGAAGUGCUAGUAUCUAAUUGAGAAUAAAACUCGUUAUAUUCUAUAUCUUGAUCAUUUGUUUCCAAUUCUUGAGACAAAUCAGUUGCUUUGUAAUGACCAGGUCCUCCAACAGAACCCAUAGAAGAUUUGUUAAACAAAAAGAGGCUUCCAACAUUCGGUUCAUUUGGAGGUGCUUUAUCUUUCAAUUCGUUUUCUUCGUUUUCCAAACCUUCCUUCGUAGAUAGUUUAAUACUGGAAAGGUCAUUUUUACUUCUAAACUUCAUAGAAUGUGAAGAGGAACCUUGUUGUCUUUGACCGACAUUUAGACGUAUACAAUUGUCCAUAAGGUGAUCUAGUUUAGAAAUCCAUUCUAAAACAGGAAACCGUUGCUUGGCUGACUUCGCACGAAGCAAUGCCCGUUUUUCAGCAGAAGAACUAAGGGCCUUCCUACAAGCUUCUUCAAACUGUUGCAAAACAUGAGACGUCGCAUUCGAUUCAACUGAAUACCACCAUCCAGGCAUUUGACCCAAACCACCAACACGAGCUCCUAUUCCUAGUGCGCCUUUUCUACCAAACUCAACAGCAACUAACCCAAAGGGUUCAUCUCGAGAAGGGAUCAAGACAAAGUCAGCUCCACUAAAUAUGCAAGGUGGUAAAUGCGUAAAUUCUGGUCUACAAUAAACCCGCUUCGGAUACUUUUUCAUAAGAGCAUUCAAUUUCUCAGCAGCAAAUUUGCCAUACAGGUCAAUUAUUGGACCUAUUGUAAUGAGUUGAGCAUUAAAAUCUUGCAACAGAGUAGGUGCAAUGUCAGCAAUUAAGUCUAUACCCUUCUGCAUGGACCACCUACCUACAAAUACCAGCAGAUCAGCGGAGUCAUCAAGUUCCAAAUUCGUCCAUUUUUGUGCGUCUCUUUUAAACGCUCUUUUCUCUGCUUCGGCCGUUAAAUCAAUAGUGAUUUCUUCAGUAAUAUUCGUGGGAUCAUCCAACUGAGCAGUAUCUAGUGGAUCUGGAUUAGGGAGUUUUCCUACCUUUUUUAAUCCCCAGAAUAUGGGAUACCGAGCUUUUGAGCGUUUCCCGUACUUAUUAGAAACCCCAACUACUCCAUAUCCUUUUUGAUGAAUACGAAUAUAUGAAACUCCUGCAUGAAGUAAAUUGAAAACAUUUCCGAAUUGAAUGUAUUUAGUACAUAUUUUCGUGGAAAUGUUGUAUACCGCACAAACUUCGUUUUUCUCGGCUUGAGUGCGAAGCGGCCAUAAACCUUGGAAUUCAGCAUUAUGAAGCGACAACACGCAUGGAAUGACAUUUGGAAGAAGAUAACAUGGAGCUAACGCACCAUGAUAAUCGUUUAUAUGGUAAACGUCUAUCGGAUAUCGUCUAAUUAUUCCGGCUAUACACUGAUUCCAAGCUGAAUAGAAAAUGGCAGAACUCAAAUCGUCCAUUCUAGCAGGGUACGGUUCAGCAGACGUUUGCUUUCUAAAGACUGGAGCCUCUAACAGAAUAUAGGUAAUGUUGCGUAAGUUAUGAGAAUAAACUCUCACUUCAUAAACCUGAUCAAGGACUACAACCUCCAAAGGUGCUAAUUCUUGUCCGUCAGGAUAGUUUACAUCUCCAACACGUGGAACCACCCAAAUAAGAUCAUGGUGUGUUAAGUGUUUACCCAUGAGUUCUGCCAUUACUCCCAGGCCCCCAAUUUUUAUUUUUAUAUCCCAGUCAGGUAUAUCAUACUCUAAAGUAGCAACUAGAAUUAAUUUGCGGGAGAUUUUUGGGUGAACACUUUUGACAGAAUUAUUUAAAGCGACUUGAUGAGAAAAUCCUUGAUUGAUAUUUGAUUGACUUAUUCUGCUGAAUGGGCCCAAUAAUUUUUCUUUCCAUUCUUGCUUUUUUUCUAUCCCUUUAUUAAGUCUUACUUGAUAAAAAAAUUUUUGAAAAGCGAGCAUAGUUGCUAAAGCACAUAUCAAAGGUGAUACUAAAAAAAGAGAAAACAAAAUAAUGGAUACAGUUGAUGAGCCUCUAGGUAUAAGGUGAUAAGUUCUUGUCAAGUCGCUUAUGAUAAUUUCCCAAGUUAAAAAGUUAGAUGGUGGUGCUUCUUUUAUCCAUGUCACACUUUCUUUUAAUUCUGACGGAGGUAGACGUACAAGUACAGUACUGUUGCCAAUAGUACCAUAAACUUUCUUUUGGUCAGGCAUCCCAGAUUCAUCAAAGUUGUACACAUUAAACUGAAACUUCGUAGGAAAAACAUCACUUAUAAAGGUCUUGUGCCAUGAGCAAUUUUUGUAUAUUAAGCGAUUGGGUAUACCAGAAUCAAAUCCCCAUUGAUUAUAAGGUCCAUUCAUAUAUAAAUGAGGAAAUGAACUCAAGCUACCUAGCCCACCUUCUUGAAUGUAAUUCGCAGAUGCCGUCAAACGACUCCAGUAUUGAACAAUAACAUGAUGACCUUUCCAGGUUUUCAGGCUAAUGUUAUUAGCAAACUCAGUACACUCAGUUUUAUUUGACAAGUAAUCGAUCCAUUCACUCCAAUGAAGUCCAUAAUCGAACGAAAAUCGGAAUAGAUCAGCACCUGGGGCUUUGUGGUUUAUAUAUAACUUCUCAUUUUCUUGUGAUAAUAUACUAGAAGAUCGAUUGGCAGUUGAGAAUACCAUUGGAUUAUCCAAUUUACCAAAUCUUAAUAAGAGUUUAUACAUGGAAUCACUCAUACUUUGAUGAUCUUGUGAAUGAACCCGUUGGAGCUUUAUUUCAUGAAUCCCAUCAGCAAUGUUAAUUAAGUCGCCUGACCAGUGAAAUCGAGCUGGCGCAAGUCCAAAAUAGUAACUAUCUGCAGAAUUAUUUGAAACUGAGCAUUUCACAGUUUCUUUAUCAACUUUCAUGACUUUACCACUUUCUGUUUUCGAACUGAAUUGCAAUUUGGAUGUUAUUUC